CGCGGCCUAUCAKCUUGUUGGUGGGGUGAUGGCCCACCAAGGCGACGACGGGUAGCCGGCCUGAGAGGGUGUCCGGCCACACUGGGACUGAGAUACGGCCCAGACUCCUACGGGAGGCAGCAGUGGGGAAUAUUGCACAAUGGGCGCAAGCCUGAUGCAGCGACGCCGCGUGGGGGAUGACGGCCUUCGGGUUGUAAACCUCUUUCACCAUCGACGAAGGUCCGGGUUUUCUCGGAUUGACGGUAGGUGGAGAAGAAGCACCGGCCAACUACGUGCCAGCAGCCGCGGUAAUACGUAGGGUGCGAGCGUUGUCCGGAAUUACUGGGCGUAAAGAGCUCGUAGGUGGUUUGUCGCGUUGUUCGUGAAAUCUCACGGCUUAACUGUGAGCGUGCGAGCGAUACGGGCAGACUUGAGUACUGCAGGGGAGACUGGAAUUCCUGGUGUAGCGGUGGAAUGCGCAGAUAUCAGGAGGAACACCGGUGGCGAAGGCGGGUCUCUGGGCAGUAACUGACGCUGAGGAGCGAAAGCGUGGGGAGCGAACAGGAUUAGAUACCCUGGUAGUCCACGCCGUAAACGGUGGGUACUAGGUGUGGGUUUCCUUCCUUGGGAUCCGUGCCGUAGCUAACGCAUUAAGUACCCCGCCUGGGGAGUACGG
RNAcentral lists this ribosomal RNA (655 nucleotides) under uncultured bacterium. RNAcentral describes it as "bacterial SSU rRNA". It matches the Rfam family "Bacterial small subunit ribosomal RNA", at positions 232 to 885 of the family's 1533-position model. The record is from RNAcentral.